Astatotilapia calliptera (eastern happy) is the source of this 1069-nucleotide long non-coding RNA. NCBI's taxonomy places the organism in Eukaryota, Metazoa, Chordata, Actinopteri, Cichliformes, Cichlidae. The record is from Ensembl.
CAGCUGGGUGCAGUUGACUUCUUCUUGUCUGUUUCGUAGUGUGCAGAUAGCUGCUACAGUGUUCACAGUUUACAUGUUUGGUGUACAGUCACCAUGAAAAUUGCUAUUUUUGUGCUGUUUGUGUGCCUUCUUCUUCCUGUGCAGCCUGAAGAGAUAGAUCACUGUAAGUAAACACUACAGUCACCUUGGUUUCCUCAGUCAUCAGAUAAUAUGUAGUUCGGUUUCUGCUGAAGAGUGCCUCUGUUAACUGUUCUAUUAUUAACAGACACCUACUGUGAGACUUGUUUAACAGUGGCACAAGGUAUGUUGGACAAUAAAUCAUUAUGGCUAAGAGCUUUUUUAUUAAUGGUUUCUGAUAACCCAGUAGCACAAUCUAACAAAUGGGAUAGCCAGGAAUACAAAUAGAAAACAAAAGACAAAAGAAAAGGGGAAAGCAAGUCACAGUCUAUAAAUACCUUACAGAGCUUGAGAAAUCCAUCAAGGAAGCCCCAGUUAAGAGCAGAAACACAGUUGUUAAACGCCUCAUCAGUGGGGCGUUGUGUGAGAAACCUCUGCCUCACAGUCACCAUGUCUCUAAGGACAAACUGACAUCAGCCUGCAGACACUUGUUAGAGUCUCACCGUGGCCAGUUCUAUGAAGCUCUGGUGAACAAAGAGCCGAAGAAUCUGGAUAUAGCUCUGUGUUAUGAGCAGUCCAACUCAUGUGUGGGGGUUAAACGCCAGACUUUUGAGGAUUCUAAAGGCGCUUUUACUGAAAGUGACAUUGAUGCUUUACUUCGGGACAACAAGGAAAAUGUUCGCAUUGCUCAGCCGAUACAUUCAGGUUCCCCUGUGCACACAGGAGAUGAACUCUGAGAAUUUCAGCAUCAUUUACUGUUUACUACUGUAAAUUCUGGACAUCAGUAAAAUAAAUAAAUCACUAAAAAAACAUAAACCAAUAAUUUUGUCUUUAAAUUAUACCUUAUGCUGUGUUGAGUUGUUACUUUUCUAAAGAAUUUAUUCAGCCUCAGAUAAGGAGUGUAUAUUCAUUAAUGAACAAAUUAUAUAAAAUUGAUAAAGGGGAAGUUUAU